UGGGGAAUAUUGGACAAUGGGCGCAAGCCUGAUCCAGCCAUGCCGCGUGUGUGAAGAAGGCCCUCGGGUUGUAAAGCACUUUAAGCGAGGAGGAAGGUCAUCAUACUAAUACUAUGGUGAAUUGACGUUACUCGCAGAAUAAGCACCGGCUAACUCUGUGCCAGCAGCCGCGGUAAUACAGAGGGUGCAAGCGUUAAUCGGAAUUACUGGGCGUAAAGCGCGCGUAGGCGGUUUGUUAAGUCGGAUGUGAAAUCCCUGGGCUCAACCUAGGCACUGCAUCCGAUACUGGCUGACUAGAGUGUGGGAGAGGAAGGUAGAAUUCCAGGUGUAGCGGUGAAAUGCGUAGAGAUCUGGAGGAAUACCGAUGGCGAAGGCAGCCUUCUGGCCUAACACUGACGCUGAGGUGCGAAAGCAUGGGGAGCAAACA
This 427-nucleotide ribosomal RNA is filed under the name uncultured bacterium. Its description in RNAcentral is "bacterial SSU rRNA". It matches the Rfam family "Bacterial small subunit ribosomal RNA", at positions 355 to 774 of the family's 1533-position model. The record is from RNAcentral.